Molecule: ribosomal RNA, 168 nt
Filed under: Zalieutes elater
Lineage: Eukaryota; Metazoa; Chordata; Actinopteri; Lophiiformes; Ogcocephalidae
Description: partial small subunit ribosomal RNA
Source: RNAcentral
CACCGCGGUUAUACGAGAGGCCCAAAUUGAAGGAUUUCGGCGUAAAGCGUGGUUAAGGUCUAACUAAAGUAAAGCCGAAUAUAUUCAAGGCUGUUAUACGCUCCCGAAUAUAAGAAGCCCAAUUACGAAGGUGGCUUUAUAAAACCUGACUCCACGAAAACUAGGAGA